RNAcentral lists this ribosomal RNA (224 nucleotides) under uncultured bacterium. RNAcentral's name for it is "partial 16S ribosomal RNA". It matches the Rfam family "Bacterial small subunit ribosomal RNA", at positions 93 to 334 of the family's 1533-position model. The record is from RNAcentral.
CGUUGGCGCACGGGUGCGUAACGCGUGGGAAUCUGCCCUUUGGUUCGGAAUAACAGCGAGAAAUUGCUGCUAAUACCGGAUGAUGUCGCGAGACCAAAGAUUUAUCGCCAGAGGAUGAGCCCGCGUUGGAUUAGGUAGUUGGUGGGGUAAAGGCCUACCAAGCCGACGAUCCAUAGCUGGUCUGAGAGGAUGAUCAGCCACACUGGGACUGAGACACGGCCCAG